GUUGUGACACUGUCGCUGGCAAUGUCUCUGUGAAAUCAAUACUGGGGAAAAGACGGAAGGCAGGUAGCAGGAAGCAAUACCAAGAGCCCAUCUCUCCAGAUGACCAGUGGCAUCUCCCUGGUCAAAGUCCUUGGAGUUCUAGAGUCUACUAUUACCCUCCCAGAGAGACUUGUCCAGCAAGUCCUGUUUGCUCAGGGCACCCCAGCAGUUAGCAUCAUCGUAGUUCCAAUCUCCAUCUUCCGGCCUCAGCCUCCAGCCCCACGCCACUCAGCUUCACUAGCAUUUGUGGGGUACCUAGCACUACCUCAAGUAAGCAAGAGAAAUCCGGUGCUUGAAUGUUUGGAUCUGGGAAUGGGAAGAAAUCUGUUUCUCCCUUUCAUUUUCCAGCUUCUUUCCUUUAUGGGUUUACAUUUAAAGACCAGGAUACAGUAAAGCGCACAGAGAGGCCUUUAGAAAGUCAUUGCACAGGCCCAGAAGAUGAGAAAGACCCAGGGACACCCCAAAUUUACACCUCAAGCUGAUUGCCAGCACAGAUAUAUACUAAUAAUUAAAAAAAAAAAAC
This 562-nucleotide long non-coding RNA is filed under the name Rattus norvegicus (Norway rat). RNAcentral describes it as "long non-coding RNA NONRATT013050". The record is from RNAcentral. Lineage: Eukaryota; Metazoa; Chordata; Mammalia; Rodentia; Muridae.